RNAcentral lists this transfer RNA (77 nucleotides) under Bacillota bacterium. RNAcentral's name for it is "tRNA-Arg". It matches the Rfam family "tRNA". From Rfam's summary of the family: Transfer RNA (tRNA) molecules are approximately 80 nucleotides in length. Their secondary structure includes four short double-helical elements and three loops (D, anti-codon, and T loops). Lineage: Bacteria; Bacillati; Bacillota. The record is from RNAcentral.
GUGUCUGUAGCUCAGUCGGAUAGAGCAAUUGCCUUCUAAGCAAUGGGCCGGGGGUUCGAAUCCCUCCAGACACGCCA